RNAcentral lists this long non-coding RNA (264 nucleotides) under Daucus carota (carrot). Its description in RNAcentral is "long non-coding RNA (DCAR_LNC004570)". Lineage: Eukaryota; Viridiplantae; Streptophyta; Magnoliopsida; Apiales; Apiaceae. The record is from RNAcentral.
AGGUCACUUCCUGAUAUGGCUUUCUGUGGAAGCUUGACAUAUGACAUUUGAGCAGUAGACUUGAUACAGCUUGCAGAGGCUAGGCAUUUGGCUUGGCUUUGGAACAAAUGACUUGUUAUGACUUGAUCAAUUCGUCGAUUGAUAAAUACUUUGCAAACUCCGUACGUGCUGACGCUUAGUGCACUGGUCUGGUUCACAAGCGACUAACACUGAAGUCAAACAUUGUACCGUCUUUGUCAGCAAACAUUGAUCAGUCGGUUCCGG